Molecule: long non-coding RNA, 582 nt
Filed under: Setaria viridis
Lineage: Eukaryota; Viridiplantae; Streptophyta; Magnoliopsida; Poales; Poaceae
Description: long non-coding RNA (SVIR_LNC001515)
Source: RNAcentral
AAGGCAUCGGCAUAUAGGUCACUGUAUCACAUUGUUAGUUCCGCCAUCUUGCUUUUUGCUGUGAUUGUAUCAGUUAUUGACCGGUGACGUAAUCGAAUAGCCAUGGGAGGCUACUCAAGCCUUGUGCAGAGGAGAAGCCCAAAGGAUGCUUGGGUAUUCGCAACAACCUGGCUAUAUAUUCCCGGAUUCCAACCAUGUCGAGGAAUGAGCGUGAGGAAAGAAAUACGCAACUGCGCGACAAUGUCAAACACAGCUCAUGAAUCAGCAAAAAUGGGAGCGGAGAAAUUAGAAAAAGUUGCUGUGAGGCCAAUGACUAUCAUAUAUUUAUCAUUUCCAACGAGCAUUAGUCCUAGUUGAAAAACCUCAUAUAUCUCGGUUUUUCCAACCGGGACUAAUCAUUUCGGACUAAAGGUCUCGGACUUUCACCCGGAACUAAAGGCACAUCUUUAGUCCGGGUUGGAAUUAGAGUUUUGCGCCAAAAAAAAUUCUAAAGUCACAAGUCAUGCGAUUUUUCUCGCGAAAUAUGCGCGUGCACAGUGCGUGGAAUUCCAACUCACGACCUCAAGCAUAGCUUCCUUACCA